This 119-nucleotide ribosomal RNA is filed under the name Phaseolus vulgaris (common bean). Lineage: Eukaryota; Viridiplantae; Streptophyta; Magnoliopsida; Fabales; Fabaceae. The record is from RNAcentral.
AGGUGCGAUCAUACCAGCACUAAUGCACCGGAUCCCAUCAGAACUCCGCAGUUAAGGGUGUUUGGGCGCUAGUAGUACUAGGAUGGGUGACCUCCUGGGAAGUCCUCGUGUUGCACUUC